AGGACUUGUAUGCACCUAAUUCCUAAUUAAGUUAAGAUUUAAAUCAGAAUUAAAUAUAAUUUAAUCUAAUUUAAUUAGACUUCUAGUUAGACUAAGAUCAUCAUUAAUUAGGUUAUAAUUAAUUUGGAUUGGGUUCAAAGAGCUUGACCUAGUCUACAUAAGAAUCCUAGUUAGACUAGGAUUCCAUCUUCUCCAUUAUGCCACCUA
RNAcentral lists this long non-coding RNA (207 nucleotides) under Elaeis guineensis (African oil palm). RNAcentral's name for it is "long non-coding RNA (EGUI_LNC077108)". Lineage: Eukaryota; Viridiplantae; Streptophyta; Magnoliopsida; Arecales; Arecaceae. The record is from RNAcentral.